CAGCUCCUCUCCAUCACUCUGC
Molecule: microRNA, 22 nt
Filed under: Gallus gallus (chicken)
Lineage: Eukaryota; Metazoa; Chordata; Aves; Galliformes; Phasianidae
Description: gga-miR-7472-3p
Source: miRBase by way of RNAcentral